This 157-nucleotide unclassified non-coding RNA is filed under the name Montagnula scabiosae. Its description in RNAcentral is "partial internal transcribed spacer 2". The record is from RNAcentral. Lineage: Eukaryota; Fungi; Ascomycota; Dothideomycetes; Pleosporales; Didymosphaeriaceae.
ACACCCUCAAGCUCUGCUUGGUGUUGGGCGUCUGUCCCGCCUCCGCGCGCGGACUCGCCCCAAAUCCAUUGGCAGCAUCCCUUGCCCCCUCUCGCGCAGCACAUUGCGCUUCUCGAGGGCGGCUCCGGGGCGCGACCCACCGAAGAUGACCAACCGU